Molecule: regulatory RNA element, 116 nt
Organism: Toxocara canis (dog roundworm)
Lineage: Eukaryota; Metazoa; Nematoda; Chromadorea; Rhabditida; Toxocaridae
Rfam family: Potassium channel RNA editing signal
About the family: This family represents a group of sequences related to the human potassium channel Kv1.1 hairpin element which directs the efficient modification of an adenosine to inosine by an adenosine deaminase acting on RNA (ADAR). The ADAR modification causes an isoleucine/valine recoding event which lies in the ion-conducting pore of the potassium channel. It is thought that this editing event targets the process of fast inactivation and allows a more rapid recovery from inactivation at negative potentials.
Source: Rfam
AUUGGCUACGGAGAUAUGACUCCGCAUACAUACCUCGGUAGGAUCAUCGGAUCGGUAUGCGCUCUUGCCGGCGUACUCACCAUCGCUUUACCCGUUCCUGUAUGUUCGUUACAAAG